CCCUUAGAUGUCCUGGGCCGCACGCGCGCUACACUGAACAGUUCAACAAGUCUUAACCUUGGCCGAUAGGUCUGGGUAAUCUUUGAACGCUGUUCGUGAUUGGGAUAGACCUUUGCAAUUAUGGGUCUUCAACGAGGAAUUCCUAGUAAACGCAAGUCAUCAGCUUGCAUUGAUUACGUCCCUGCCCUUUGUACACACCGCCCGUCACACCUACCGAUUGAAUGGUCCGGUGAAAUCUCGGGACGGCGGCUUGGUCGCUUGCGUCCGACUGCUGAAACUUGAUUAAACCAUAUCAUUUAGAGGAAGGUGAAGUCGUAACA
Molecule: ribosomal RNA, 320 nt
Filed under: uncultured eukaryote
Lineage: Eukaryota
Description: partial 18S ribosomal RNA
Rfam family: Eukaryotic small subunit ribosomal RNA
Source: RNAcentral